RNAcentral lists this ribosomal RNA (717 nucleotides) under uncultured bacterium. RNAcentral's name for it is "bacterial SSU rRNA". It matches the Rfam family "Bacterial small subunit ribosomal RNA", at positions 66 to 776 of the family's 1533-position model. The record is from RNAcentral.
GCAGCAUGAACUUAGCUUGCUAAGUUUGAUGGCGACCGGCGCACGGGUGAGUAACACGUAUCCAACCUGCCGAUGACUCGGGGAUAGCCUUUCGAAAGAAAGAUUAAUACCCGAUGGCAUAGUUCUUCCGCAUGGUAGGACUAUUAAAGAAUUUCGGUCAUCGAUGGGGAUGCGUUCCAUUAGCUUGUUGGCGCGGUAACGGCCCACCAAGGCAUCGAUGGAUAGGGGUUCUGAGAGGAAGGUCCCCCACAUUGGAACUGAGACACGGUCCAAACUCCUACGGGAGGCAGCAGUGAGGAAUACUGGUCAAUGGGCGCUAGCCUGAACCAGCCAAGUAGCGUGAAGGAUGACUGCCCUAUGGGUUGUAAACUUCUUUUAUAUGGGAAUAAAGUGCAGUAUGUAUACUGCUUUGCAUGUACCUUAUGAAUAAGGAUCGGCUAACUCCGUGCCAGCAGCCGCGGUAAUACGGAGGAUCCGAGCGUUAUCCGGAUUUAUUGGGUUUAAAGGGAGCGUAGGCGGGUUGUUAAGUCAGUUGUGAAAGUUUGCGGCUCAACCGUAAAAUUGCAGUUGAUACUGGCAUCCUUGAGUACAGUAGAGGUAGGCGGAAUUCGUGGUGUAGCGGUGAAGUGCUUAGAUAUCACGAAGAACUCCGAUUGCGAAGGCAGCCUGCUGGACUGUAACUGACGCUGAUGCUCGAAAGUGUGGGUAUCAAACAGG